RNAcentral lists this ribosomal RNA (468 nucleotides) under uncultured bacterium. RNAcentral's name for it is "partial 16S ribosomal RNA". It matches the Rfam family "Bacterial small subunit ribosomal RNA", at positions 28 to 507 of the family's 1533-position model. The record is from RNAcentral.
GACGAACGCUGGCGGCGUGCUUAACACAUGCAAGUCGAACGGAAAGGCCCUGCUUUUGUGGGGUGCUCGAGUGGCGAACGGGUGAGUAACACGUGAGUAACCUGCCCUUGACUUUGGGAUAACUUCAGGAAACUGGGGCUAAUACCGGAUAGGAGCUCCUGCUGCAUGGUGGGGGUUGGAAAGUUUCGGCGGUUGGGGAUGGACUCGCGGCUUAUCAGCUUGUUGGUGGGGUAGUGGCUUACCAAGGCUUUGACGGGUAGCCGGCCUGAGAGGGUGACCGGCCACAUUGGGCCUGAGAUACGGCCCAGACUCCUACGGGCGGCAGCAGUGGGGAAUAUUGCACAAUGGGCGGAAGCCUGAUGCAGCAACGCCGCGUGCGGGAUGACGGCCUUCGGGUUGUAAACCGCUUUCGCCUGUGACGAAGCGUGAGUGACGGUAAUGGGUAAAGAAGCACUGGCUAACUACGUG